This 484-nucleotide ribosomal RNA is filed under the name uncultured bacterium. Its description in RNAcentral is "bacterial SSU rRNA". It matches the Rfam family "Bacterial small subunit ribosomal RNA", at positions 29 to 489 of the family's 1533-position model. The record is from RNAcentral.
AGCGAACGUUAGCGGCGCGCCUAACACAUGCAAGUCGCACGAGAAAGGGAGCAAUCCCCGGUACAGUGGCGCACGGGUGAGUAACACGUAGAUGACCUUCCCUGGAGUGGUGGAUAACCUGCCGAAAGGCGGGCUAAUACAGCAUGGGACCACAUGGUUUUGACCGAGUGGUGAAAGCGGGCCUCUGUUCACAAGCUCGCGCUCUGGGAUGGGUCUGCGUCCCAUCAGCUAGUUGGUGAGGUAAUGGCUCACCAAGGCAUCGACGGGUAGCUGGUCUGAGAGGAUGACCAGCCACACUGGAACUGAGACACGGUCCAGACUCCUACGGGAGGCAGCAGUGGGGAAUCUUGCGCAAUGGGCGAAAGCCUGACGCAGCGACGCCGCGUGGGUGAUGAAGGCCUUCGGGUUGUAAAGACCCUGUGGGGAGGAACGAACCGUAACGGGGCGGAACGACCCUCCGUACCUGACGGUACCGUCCUUACGC